Molecule: non-coding RNA, 2133 nt
Organism: Chiloscyllium plagiosum (whitespotted bambooshark)
Lineage: Eukaryota; Metazoa; Chordata; Chondrichthyes; Orectolobiformes; Hemiscylliidae
Source: RefSeq, a predicted model, not a curated record
UAUUUUCACUUCUGAGUCACAGUCAGUGACUCUGACUUUACUGCCUUAAACUCAUAGUCAAGGCUGAUGACUUAAUGCAGUACCGAAGGAAGGAUUUAGAGUAACAUGCAGUAUUUUCCUCUCUCCCUGUAACCUCCUUUGCCCUAAAACUCUGUGUGUGCUCCUCCAAUUCUAAUGCCUGCCCUGGAAUGCACAUUGCUCCUGGUCUUGAAGAUGAUAGACACAGCUGGAAUGAGAACAACAUCCACGAUGAGAACGACAUGAUGGGACAAAAACUGAAAUGCCGAAAUGCCACUCCAUUGGGCCGAAAGCGCUAAGAACGCCACUUAGAAUAAAUGCUAAGCCUUCAGAUCAUUGGGUUGGGGUAAGACCACCACUCAUGGAUAAAACGAUGUCAGAACAUAGAGCCAGAAGCACUUGCCAAAGAUGAAGAUUGAGCUGAACCACUGUCAAGAUCUCAAAUUGGGGUAAACUGCUCCAUAAGAGAUCACUCCGCAGGCCGAGACCAACAAGCUAGGAAAGACCGCCACUUUGGACUGCCGGAAGCAACUGCCGCUUAGAAGAAGCUCAUGGCUGAAGCUUUUAAAUGAAGGAAUGAUGAAUUUGAUGUUAUCUAUGCUAUCUAUACUAAUUGAAAAACAUUUAAAACAGAAAAAAGAAAAAAAAUUGUAAAGGGAAAUGGGCUGCACUGCUACUUAGUGCGUUUUAAUUGCAAAUGGAAAAUUUCUGUCCUUGUAUUUUGUUACUUUUUUUCAAAAUGCUAGACAGUCAGAUCUAUCAGCCAUAUUCCCAGCCUAACAAGAUCAAUAUAGUAUAAUCAAGAAAGCUGCCAACAAAGUAAAUGGGAUAUUGAAGGGCAGAAAGAUCAAAGUUUAGAAAAAAUGAUAUGAAGUAAAAUGAAUUACAUAUGAAAACAAAACAAAUUUCAUUAUAUAUUUUCUGUUAUUGGUAUUAAAGAUGUAUUACUUAAAUUUUAACCAGAUCCAGUUUUGUCGUUCUACUUAUUAGACUUUGACAUUUUAAAGCAUAAUCCAACCAUAUAAUGUCUUCAUUCUUGAAUCACAUUAAAACAGCUGAAGAUGGCACACAGUAUAGUGCAUGUCUCUGCAAGGCAGUUAAUGCUUUAAUAAUUACAAAACUCUUUCUUGAAGCUUUUCCUUAUCAUUCUGUAACUAUAGUCCUGAAACAAGAAAUCUUUUGUAUUAAGAACUUCUAUCUCACUGAGAGGCUUCAGGCUAAUCCUUAAUCAACAACCUGCUUUGAAAAUUCAGCUUUCAUUUUGAAGGCUGUGAAAUCCACCACAAAUCUGUCUGAGACAAUCCACAACAUUCUAAAACAAUCAAAAGCAUCCUUUAAAAAAAAUGUCAAUUUGCCCUAUCUCCCAAAGUUAGUGGGAGAAAACACAUUCAGGAUUUGGAUCUGGAUUUGCUUAUUUACCAAAACUAAACAGUUCUUUGUUGAGCUGUAUCCAAUCUGUGUACCAUGUUUCAUUGAAUUUGUUCAUCAGACUUUGAGCUAUAUUUACAGACUGAUAGAUUGGCAAGGGCAAAUACACUAUCUCUGCCCAACUUCAGCAACAGAGGUAAUGUCUGACAGAAAAAGAUGUAUUGAUCCAACUAACACUCUGCUAUGCUAUAAUGUCAGUCUUGUCUCAGUGGGUAAUGCUGUUCUUUCUUUGCCAGCACACUUGAAGUUCAAGUCUGAUUCCAGAGACUUAAACACAUAAUCCAUGCUGACACUUCAAUGCUGUGUGAAGGAAGUGCUACACUGCCUGAAGUGACAUGGUCCAGACGAAGCAUUAAGCUGAGGCCCUCUCAAGUGGAUGUGAAACCCAAGGCAUUUAUUUCAAAGAAAAAUGAAGAAUGGAGCUUACCUGGCUAAUGUUUAUAUCUUAAUUAAUAUCACAAAAAUCAAAUUAUAUGGUCAAUUAUGUCCUUGCUAUAUGUAGGAUCUUAAUAUGUAUAAUGUCUUUGCCAUGUUUCCAAUAGUACAAUAGUUGACUGUACUUCUGAAACUGCUUAACUGUUAGUGAAGUGUUUAGUAUGAGCUGAGAUUAAGGAAAAUGCUUUCUGAAUCAGCUCAUUUUGUUCUUUUGUGCACCAUUCAAAAUAAAUUGCAUUUAUUUUAUAUUAA